GAUGAACGCUGGCGGCAUGCCUAACACAUGCAAGUCGAACGGAGCUAUUAGACGGAAGCCUUCGGGCGGAAGAUUAAUAGCUUAGUGGCGGACGGGUGAGUAACGCGUGAGUAACCUGCCUCUCAGAGGGGGAUAACGUUCUGAAAAGAACGCUAAUACCGCAUAUAAUCAAGAAACCGCAUGAUUUUUUGAUGAAAGGAGCAAUCCGCUGAGAGAUGGACUCGCGUCUGAUUAGCUAGAUGGUGGGGUAACGGCCUACCAUGGCGACGAUCAGUAGCCGGACUGAGAGGUUGAACGGCCACAUUGGGACUGAGACACGGCCCAGACUCCUACGGGAGGCAGCAGUGGGGGAUAUUGCGCAAUGGGGGAAACCCUGACGCAGCAAUGCCGCGUGAAGGAAGAAGGUUUUCGGAUUGUAAACUUCUUUUGUUAAGGA
RNAcentral lists this ribosomal RNA (436 nucleotides) under uncultured bacterium. RNAcentral's name for it is "bacterial SSU rRNA". It matches the Rfam family "Bacterial small subunit ribosomal RNA", at positions 28 to 445 of the family's 1533-position model. The record is from RNAcentral.